This 253-nucleotide ribosomal RNA is filed under the name uncultured bacterium. RNAcentral's name for it is "partial 16S ribosomal RNA". It matches the Rfam family "Bacterial small subunit ribosomal RNA", at positions 524 to 776 of the family's 1533-position model. The record is from RNAcentral.
UACGAAGGGGGCUAGCGUUGCUCGGAAUCACUGGGCGUAAAGGGUGCGUAGGCGGGUCUUUAAGUCAGGGGUGAAAUCCUGGAGCUCAACUCCAGAACUGCCUUUGAUACUGAAGAUCUUGAGUUCGGGAGAGGUGAGUGGAACUGCGAGUGUAGAGGUGAAAUUCGUAGAUAUUCGCAAGAACACCAGUGGCGAAGGCGGCAUCCUGGACCGGCAUUGACGCUGAGGCGCGAAAGCUAGGGGAGAAAACGGG